Molecule: ribosomal RNA, 265 nt
Filed under: uncultured bacterium
Lineage: Bacteria
Description: partial 16S ribosomal RNA
Rfam family: Bacterial small subunit ribosomal RNA
Source: RNAcentral
UUGAGUGGCGGACGGGUGAGUAACGCGUGGGUAACCUGCCCUGUACAGGGGGAGUAACAGUCAGAAACGGCUGCUAAUACCGCAUAAGCGCACAGUACCGCAUGGUACCGUGUGAAAAACUCCGGUGGUAUAAGAUGGACCCGCGUUGGAUUAGCUAGUUGGCGGGGUAACGGCCUACCAAGGCGACGAUCCAUAGCCGGCCUGAGAGGGUGAACGGCCACAUUGGGACUGAGACACGGCCCAGACUCCUACGGGAGGCAGCAUG